Molecule: ribosomal RNA, 460 nt
Filed under: uncultured bacterium
Lineage: Bacteria
Description: partial 16S ribosomal RNA
Rfam family: Bacterial small subunit ribosomal RNA
Source: RNAcentral
CCUACGGGAGGCAGCAGUGAGGAAUAUUGGUCAAUGGACGUGAGUCUGAACCAGCCAAGUAGCGUGAAGGAUGACGGACCUAUGGGUUGUAAACUUCUUUUAUAUGGGAAUAAAGUGUUCCACGUGUGGGAUUUUGUAUGUACCCUAUGAAUAAGGAUCGGCUAACUCCGUUCCAGCAGCCGCGGUAAUACGGAGGAUCCGAGCGUUAUCCGGAUUUAUUGGGUUUAAAGGGUGCGUAGGUUGUUUUUUAAGUCAGUGGUGAAAGUUUGUGGCUCAACCGUAAAAUUGCAGUUGAAACUGGCAGUGUUGAGUAUAGUAGAGGUGGGCGGAAGUCGUGGUGUAGCGGUGAAAGGCUUAGAUAUCACGAAGAACUCCGAUUGCGAAGGCAGCUCACUGGACUGCAACUGACACUGAGGCACGAAAGUGUGGGUAUCAAACAGGAUUAGAUACCCUAGUAGUC